RNAcentral lists this microRNA precursor (154 nucleotides) under Oryza rufipogon (brownbeard rice). RNAcentral's name for it is "MIR812 microRNA precursor family". It matches the Rfam family "MIR812 microRNA precursor family", at positions 52 to 205 of the family's 205-position model. Lineage: Eukaryota; Viridiplantae; Streptophyta; Magnoliopsida; Poales; Poaceae. The record is from Rfam by way of RNAcentral.
UGAAACAUUUUUAUGAUUAGUAUUUUUAUUGCUAUUAAAUGAUAAAACAUUAAUAGUAAUUUAUGUGUGACUAAUUUUUUUAAAAAAAAUUAUAAUUUUUUUAAAUAAGACAGAUGAUCAAAGUUGUACACAUAUAUCCACGACUGCACUUAUU